UCUCCCGACUUGUGAAAUCCGUAGGUUUCGAAUCCAAGUCUCCUCGGUCGCCCAGACUUUGGAUUGGGCUCAGCAAGACGGGGACGAAAGCGGAGACGUGAGCGCAUCGGUCCACCGUCGCCGGUACACUGAAUCGUCCUAAGUGGUAUGGAGACAUGGCGAACCGUAGAGUCUCGAGCCGUACCCGUAAGGUUGCUACGAAGAUGGCGGCAGCUCUUACAAGCACCGACAAUCGAACCCAGGCUGCUAUAGCUAGGCUGGAGGCUUUAGAGAAUGACAAUGGAGCUCUAGAGGUGGUUGAUUUGAACGACGAUGAAAAAGCAUCUCUCGACGAAGAAGAUGAUCUCGGUUAGCCUUGGCUAUGCUCUUUGAGCAAGCUGGUACUGUUUAAAUAGCUGAGGUGAAUAUGGUUUUUUGAACCUUUCUUGGUUGCUUGCUUUUUCUACUUGUUCAAUAGCAUUGCUUCAAGGUCAUGUAUGUUCUCUGUGCAUUGGUAUUUGCAUCAAAUGGGAGUCAAAAUGAGAUAAAGUUAAGUUCGAGAGAAUUGUUGAAGUGAUUAGAAUUGUGUGAAUUGAGUUGGUAUAAGCCUCAGCGUAUGCAUUUUUGUUCACUAUGCAUUGGUUUAAGGUCUUGUGUGUUCUGUGCAUUGCAAUUUAUACUCUUUUCCCUUAGCUUCCUUUCCAAUAAUGGCUGUAUGAUGUGUCCCGCUCUCUCUUUUAUAGGGGAAUUGCUCCUGAACAAACAUUUGCUUUCCAAUAUUGCUGCAACAUACCUAACCCGCUGAGCAAGACGUCUCCCACCAAGCGCACAAUCAGGAUCAUUGAA
Molecule: long non-coding RNA, 825 nt
Organism: Brassica rapa (field mustard)
Lineage: Eukaryota; Viridiplantae; Streptophyta; Magnoliopsida; Brassicales; Brassicaceae
Source: RefSeq, a predicted model, not a curated record